AAAAUGGCUGUGAAGAGAAGAGUAAGCUUUCGCAUGAGCCUUACCAGAGAGCCCGGCAGGUGGAAAAGGGCAGGAAACAGGGAGCCGAAAAUGGUCUCGGAGCUGCGCGGACGAAGAGCAAGAGCACUAGUCCGCGACGGGUGCGCCCGUUAAAGCGUCCGGCUGUAAGCAGAAAAAAUUCUGCCGCAGUUUUGAGGCAGUGUCCGCGAGGAUGCUGUGAACCAAGGUGGUACCACGGAAGUUUCAAAGCCUCCGUCCUUGUG
Molecule: non-coding RNA, 263 nt
Filed under: Faecalibacterium prausnitzii
Lineage: Bacteria; Bacillati; Bacillota; Clostridia; Eubacteriales; Oscillospiraceae
Description: T-box sequence
Rfam family: T-box leader
About the family: Uncharged tRNA acts as the effector for transcription antitermination of genes in the T-box leader family. T-boxes are found upstream of many aminoacyl-tRNA synthetase genes and some amino acid biosynthetic genes usually in Gram-positive bacteria.
Source: RNAcentral